This 440-nucleotide ribosomal RNA is filed under the name uncultured bacterium. RNAcentral's name for it is "bacterial SSU rRNA". It matches the Rfam family "Bacterial small subunit ribosomal RNA", at positions 32 to 501 of the family's 1533-position model. The record is from RNAcentral.
AAUCAACGCUGGCGGCGCGCCUAACACAUGCAAGUCGAACGAGAAAGUGGAGCAAUCCAUGAGUAAAGUGGCGUACGGGUGAGUAACACGUGGAUAAUCUGCCCUUUAGUGGGGAAUACCGCUGGGAAACCGGCGACAAUACCGCAUAAGCUCGAGAGAGGAAAGCAGCAAUGCGCUGAAGGAGGAGUCCGCGGUCGAUUAGCUAGUUGGUGAGGUAAUGGCUCACCAAGGCUGUGAUCGAUAGCCGGCCUGAGAGGGCACACGGCCACACUGGCACUGAAACACGGGCCAGACUCCUACGGGAGGCAGCAGUGGGGAAUCUUGCACAAUGGGGGAAACCCUGAUGCAGCGACGCCGCGUGAGCGAUGAAGCCCUCGGGUGUAAAGCUCUUUCGGUCAGGGAAGAUUAUGACGGUACCUGCAGAAGCAGCUGCGGCUAAC